Molecule: long non-coding RNA, 437 nt
Filed under: Sarcophilus harrisii (Tasmanian devil)
Lineage: Eukaryota; Metazoa; Chordata; Mammalia; Dasyuromorphia; Dasyuridae
Description: lncRNA (ENSSHAG00000032339.1)
Source: RNAcentral
UAGGGAGGGCUGCCUUUAGUGCUACACAGAAAUCACUCACCAUGUCCUGGAGCUGGGUUUGGAGGAAGGUCCCCUGCUGGGCAGCUGAAGGCCGCCACUGCAUCCUCCCCUUCUUCAAGCCAAGCAUCAGUCACCUUCUUUGACUAGGGAGGAUUACCUGUUCUGUUGAAUGUUUCCAACGUUUUCCAAAGAAUUUGUCUGAGGGAGGCCUUUGAAGAUGAACAUAGGGAAAAUUUUGAGCUGUAAUGCUCUGGACCCUGGAAUUGCUGAUGAGAAGUAGCUUAAUAUAGAGGAGUCUGUGCUGUGCAGCUGAAGUUUUUUUUUCCCUAAGAUACCCUUUCCCCAGGGACAAAUUCUAUUAUUUCCCAAAGUGUUUCUGUCCGCGAUGGAUGAGAGCUGUUGUUUUGGGGAGGAGUCUCUAUGUUUUUCCCUAUACA